RNAcentral lists this unclassified non-coding RNA (250 nucleotides) under uncultured fungus. Its description in RNAcentral is "partial contains 5.8S ribosomal RNA, internal transcribed spacer 2, and large subunit ribosomal RNA". Lineage: Eukaryota; Fungi. The record is from RNAcentral.
AACGCACAUUGCGCCCCUUGGUAUUCCAUGGGGCAUGCUUGUUCGAGCGUCAUUUGUACUCUCAAGCUCUGCUAGGUGUUGGGUGUUUGUCCUGCCCUCUGCGGCUGGACUCGCCUUAAAUAUAUUGGCAGCCGAUGUAUUGGUUUGAAGCGCAGCACAAUUUGCGAUUCUGGCUGGUAGCAUCAGCGUCCAUGAAGCACUAUUUAACACUUUUGACCUCGGAUCAAGUAGGGAUACCCGCUGAACUUAA